UACGGAGGGUGCAAGCGUUAUCCGGAUUCACUGGGUUUAAAGGGUGCGUAGGCGGGUUGGUAAGUCCGUGGUGAGAUCCCCAAGCUUAACUUGGGAACUGCCGUGGAUACUAUCAAUCUUGAAUAUCGUGGAGGUAAGCGGAAUAUGUCAUGUAGCGGUGAAAUGCUUAGAUAUGACAUAGAACACCAAUUGCGUAGGCAGCUUACUACACGAUCAUUGACGCUGAGGCACGAAAGCGUGGGGAGCAAACAGG
Molecule: ribosomal RNA, 253 nt
Filed under: uncultured bacterium
Lineage: Bacteria
Description: partial 16S ribosomal RNA
Rfam family: Bacterial small subunit ribosomal RNA
Source: RNAcentral